AGUGAACGCUGGCGGCGUGCUUAACACAUGCAAGUCGAACGAGAACGGGCUAUAGCUUGCUAUAGUUGUCAGCUAAGUGGCGCACGGGUGAGGAAUGUAUAGGUAAUAUGCCUCUUACUAAGGGAUAACAAAUGGAAACGUUUGCUAAUACCUUAUACUCCUUAUUAACAGAAGUUAAUAAGGGAAAGAUUUAUUGGUAAGAGAUUAGCCUGUAUUGUAUCAGUUAGUUGGUGGGGUAAUGGCUUACCAAGACUAUGACACAUAACUGGUUUGAGAGGAUGAUCAGUCACACUGGAACUGAGACACCGUCCAGACUCCUACGGGAGGCAGCAGUGGGGAAUAUUGCACAAUGGACGAAAGCCUGAUGCAGCAACGCCGCGUGGGGGAUGACACAUUUCGGUGCGUAAACUCCUUUUAUAUGAGAAGAUAAUGACGGUAUUAUAUGAAUAAGCACCGGCUAACUCCGUGCCAGCCGCCGCCGUAA
This 484-nucleotide ribosomal RNA is filed under the name uncultured bacterium. RNAcentral describes it as "partial 16S ribosomal RNA". It matches the Rfam family "Bacterial small subunit ribosomal RNA", at positions 29 to 523 of the family's 1533-position model. The record is from RNAcentral.